Long non-coding RNA from Orbicella faveolata, 981 nucleotides. The record is from RefSeq and is a predicted model, not a curated record. NCBI's taxonomy places the organism in Eukaryota, Metazoa, Cnidaria, Anthozoa, Scleractinia, Merulinidae.
UCAAAAAUCUGAUUCAUCGCUAUUUCUCUGCGAAAGAAAAACCACAAAUCGACGAGCCUGAAGAAGAAUCUCCUCCUCCAGAAGAGAUACAGCACAAACUAAUGGAGGUCACAAAAACAUUACAGAGCCUGCAAAAUGUGGUCAAGCGGUUUCGUCAUCAGACCCCAACGGAAAAGAGAGACAACCAAGAAACAGAAGCUAAGUAAAGGAUGAGGCAGUGCUUUCAGUGGAACAAGAGUCGUAAACAGAGCAUUGUAUCUCGACCAAGUCACCUCAAAGUGAAAGAAUAAGGGGAAAAAUAGGAAUUUUUCUUGCCUGAUAAAGUAAUUUUUCUAGAAAAUCAACGAAUUUACUCAGGAGCCAAAAGUAUAGUUGGCACAUCAUGAUGAGUAUACUAAAAAUUAAUUAAUAACAUGCAUGAGUGUGGUAUUUUGCAUUAGAAGUCAAAGGUAUAUACAUUGUAUAUACAUCGUCAAGUGCCCAUUCUUUCAUAAUUGUUACACGGCCCAGCUUCAUGAAUGAUUUCUCAUUCUGAAUUUUUUUCCUGAACUCUAGUUUUCGGAUCUAUCAAUUUUAGAAGCUAAAAGGGUCCGUAUAAUUUUAUCACCAACUGUUGAAUAACCAUUACAACGUGAUUACAAUCCUAGUCCUGGCCGAAAGUUCUCGGGACACGUGGUAAAGUAUCACCCAAUGAAACAUACCGUGAACUGCCGCUUUUAAGCUCUGGGCUUAUACAACUUUGUAAGGGGUUUUGAAUGAGCUUAUAUCCGGGGGGUCUUAUAAGCGGCAUAAAAACAAACGUUGCGAAAUGAGCUACAGCAGUGUUGAUCUAAGUAAUUUUUUUCAUCUAAUGAUUUUCAAUCAAGCUAUAAAACAUCUUAUGUCGCACCUCUAUUAAGCGGCCCCCUAUUAAGCGAAAACUUGUCACCUAUACACUGUAAUAAAAACCUCUGUUCAACGGCCAGCUUUUUGCCGUCCCAA